Molecule: RNA transcript, 10585 nt
Organism: Passer domesticus (house sparrow)
Lineage: Eukaryota; Metazoa; Chordata; Aves; Passeriformes; Passeridae
Gene: BOD1L1
Gene name: biorientation of chromosomes in cell division 1 like 1
Exons: 24
Source: RefSeq, a predicted model, not a curated record
CGGCGGGGGAGAGGGGCGCGCCCGCGGUGCCCGCAGCGCCCGGCGGAGGCCGCGCCACGCGGGGGGAGCGUGGGCGCGGCGGGCGGAGGCCGAGCGACGCCGCGGCCGCUCCUCUCCCCCCUCAGCCCGGCGGAUCGGGGUCGCACCGGCCCGGGAGCCGCGAGCGGCUCCGCCCCCCCCGCCCCUGUGCAGGGCCCCGGCGGCUGCGCGCGGCCCCGGCAGUGCUCGUCCCGCGCCCAUGGCGCCGCUCUCGGCGGCGGAGCCUCCGCCUCCCCCCGCGCCGCUUCCUCCCGCCGUCCCCUUCCGCUUCCGGGGUCAGCGCCGCCGCUGCUCGCUGAGCAGCCCCGUCCCGGGGCCCGGCCGGCACCGCCGGCAGCAGCCGCCGCCCCGCCGCCCCCAUGGCCACCAACCCCCAGCCCCCGCCGCCCCCGCCGCCGCCCCCUCAGCAGCCGCCGCCGCUGCCGGGGACCGCGGCCGGCGCGGGGGGCGGCACGGCCGAACCCGAGCUGGUCUCCAUGAUCGUUAACCACCUCAAGAGCCAGGGGCUCUUCGACCAGUUCCGCCGCGACUGCUUGGCCGACGUGGACACCAAGCCGGCCUACCAGAAUCUGAGACAGCGCGUUGACAACUUUGUUUCCAACCAUUUGGCAACUCAUACCUGGAGUCCUCAUCUCAACAAGAACCAGCUGAGGAAUAACAUUAGGCAGCAGGUUCUCAAGUCUGGAAUGUUGGAAUCGGGAAUUGACAGAAUUAUUUCUCAGGUUGUGGACCCAAAGAUCAACCACACAUUUAGACCUCAGGUGGAAAAAGCUGUCCAUGAAUUUUUAGCCACAUUGAAUCACAAAGAGGAGGCAGGCCCCAGUACAACUCCAAGUGAGGAGAAAGCAGAUGCUUCUGUUACAGUACAAGGUGUCUCUGCUACAACUCCAAGUGCUAAUGUAGCUAGUGAUGCAAUGUCCAUUUUGGAAACAAUAACUUCUCUUAAUCAAGAAGCAAGUGCUGCCAGGGCUUCAACAGAGACCUCCAAUCCCAAGAACAAUGACAAAGUUUCUAAAAAACUCUCAUCUCAACAGAGUGUGGAUGGUAGCACUGAUAAAGAGAGAAAUGCAGAGGACUUGUCAGACAAAGAGAAAGCAGUUUGUGACCUUUCUGGAGAAGGGGCUGAAGCACUUGCAAAGUGUGAAGAUUUAAAUGAGCUUCCCUGCCAAAGUGAAGAAAUAAAAAAUUCAGCAAAGGAUACUAAUAUGUUUACAAGUAAAGAUAUUCCACAGGAAAGUGAAGAUGUAAAGAGUAAAUUAUUGGAUAAAUCUGACAAGAAACCAGAGGGCAGCGAAAAAAGUGAAAGAAGAAAAGAAAAGAAGGAAAAGCUUGACAAGAAAUCUGAUCAUUCAAAGAAAAGUGAUGAUACUACAAAGUCAAAAGAAGAAAAGCAAGCAAAAGAGUCAGAACAAAUGAAACACUUAGUUCCAGAAAAAAAUAGCAAUAAACAUAAAGCAAAUGAAACCACUAAAGAAGAAAAUAUGUUAAUAGAUUCAGAUAUGGAUGUACUCAGUGACAUCACGGUCAGCUCCGUCCAUACCAGUGACCUUUCUUCCUUUGAAGAAGAGAGUGAAGAGGAACCUGUAAUUUCUGACAGUACUGAAGAGGGGGAGAUCACAUCAGAUGAAGAGGAGAAGAGCAGCCAGAGUAAGACGAAGCCCCACGCGAACGAGCUGAGUGAUGGGAAAGCCAAGCCCGUUCGGCACGCUUACGUUCGCAAGCCUUUCCUGUACUCCAAGUACUUCAGCGACUCUGACGAUGAGCGAACCGUAGAGCAGCGCCGGCAGUCCAUUGCCAAAGAAAAAGAAGAGAGACUCCUCAGAAGACGAAUUAACAGAGAGAGACUUGAAGAAAAACGUAAACAGAAGGCUGCAGAAAAGACAAAAUCCCUAAAAACUGGAAAUCAGAAUGCUAAAGGAAAAAGUGGCUUGCAAUCAGAAGAACCUUCAUCAAAGAGUCUAGAGUCAAAAACGACUGGUACCAGCAUUAAGGAUGUGCUUAAAGAGCAGAAAAUUUUGGAAAAAAAAGUGGCCCUGAGCAGAAAAAGAAAAAGAGAUUCAAGGCAUGCUGAAGAUAGCUGCAGAAAGAAAAAUGAGCCAUCUGAAGAAGAUUCUAAAGAAAUGCAAAAGACAAAUGAGACCUGUGAAAAAAAUUCUUCCAAAGAAUUGAAACACAAUCAUGGAAAAAAUGAAAUCUGUAAACAACUUAGAAGACUUUCAGAAUUGGGGCAUUCAGCUGAGGAAAGCAAAAGUGAUUCUAAAGCAGAAAAAGAACAUAAAAGAAAAACUUCCACUUCUCUUCAGACUGAAGGAUCUCAGCAGGACAGCGAAACAAAGGAUGCAAAAAAACAACUGGAUAAAGCAGAAGUCAAUACUGAAGAACCACAGAAGCAGAAAUCCAUAUCUAAGAAUGAAAAACACCCCAGAAAAGAUACUGACACGGAAAUUCAGCAUAUGAGAAAUUCUGCCAAAAAAGAAGCCAAGUCUUACAGAGAUAAAAAUGAAAAGGAAAGAACUGCUUUAGAAGAUAAACUUCCUUUAAAGCACAAAUAUAAAGGAGAUGGUAUUCACAAGUCAGGUGAAGAUGUUGAACUUCAUUCAUUUGAGCGAAGUUUGAAAGGAGAGGAUGGUGGCCAGAAACAUAACCAACAAAUAAAGGCUUCCGCAGAUGACAAAUGUGAAAGAAAAAGUAAACACCGAAGUGAACGGAAAGUAUCAGUGACAGGGAAAGAUGGUAAAAACCCUUCUGAAUCAACCUUAAAAGCUGAAGAAUUGCUGCGUAAAGAAAACAAAAAGGACAGACAUCUCUCAACAGACAAACCAAGAGCGGAAUGCAAGACCAAAAGGUCUUUGAGUGAUUCUAAGCCACAGAAGGAUUCCCUAAGUGCCUCAAAGCAACCUGGUUCAGCAUCACACAGAAGAAGUGAAAGCUACUCAGAAGAUAAACAUGAAAUAGAAUCAACUAACUCUGAUAGUAAUGUAAAACUUGAAGAUGGUGUUCAUAAAGAUAGACGAAGAUCUAAGAGCCUUGCAGAAGACAAGAUUUUAUUGAAGUCCAAGUCAAAGAGUCACAGUAAACAGUUCAAAGCAUCUGAAACAGAAUUACAGGAAUUAACAAAACAAGACACUGGACAGAAACUAGACAAAGAUAAGAGCAUGGAAGACAAUGAUUCAGAUAAACAGCACAAAUCCAGGAAUGAAGAUAAACGUUUGGAGGAGAGUGGUGCUGAGUUUCAGCUUGCAAGUGGCCCACAGUCAACUCAGGGAUCACAAAAAGACUUUAGUCACAGAGUUAAGUUACAUUCUGGAGAAAAAGGGGCAGUAAAAGAGAAAUACAGAGGUGAUAAAGAUUUAAGUAAUUCCAAACUAGAAAGAAGGUUCUCUGCUGAAGGUCAUAAAAGCAGAAACUUAAAACACAGCAACAAGGAAAUAAAGAAGAAGGAAGAGAGCAUCAAAUUGGAAGAUAAAGAUACUAAAGAAAUGGAUGGGGGGCAUGAAAGGUUAUCUAAUGUCACAAUGGCAGUGGAUAAAAAACAAAGCAAGAAGGUAUCCUGUGAAAAUAGGAAAGGCAGUAUAUCAAACCACGAUUUGCUUAAGGAGGAAAAGCAAUCAACUGGCACAACUGAAAGCAGCCAGGUUCCAGCCCCUCAAAAGGCAGCUAUGAAUAAUGAUGACUUGCAUGCUGGUCAUGAGGAAGAGCUGAUUGAAGUUGAUUUGAAAAAAAUAAAAGCACAGGAAGCAUCUAACACUGAUGGAAAAAACAUUCAAAACUCUCUCCAAGCCACAGAUGCCAAGUGUGCAGUAAAACAAAAAGGAUCUCGUUCUAUCUCAAAUAAGGAGUUAAAACACAGCUUGGCAGGUCCUGAAGCUCGUGAAUCACAGUUUCUGCCUGCAGCUGAAAAAACUGUUGAACAAGAAGAUAUUUCUAAUAAACAAGUUGGUGCCUUAGACCCUCUGUCCAAAAAAGCUUCCAUGACUCAAGGUCCCAGUAAACAAGGGGCUUAUAAAACAGGUAUUGUGUGUGAAACAAGUGGUAGAACCUUAAAGAAUGCAUCCACUAAGGAUCAGGCUUCAAAAGAUAGCAGAAGACCAAAGAAUUUAAAAACUGUGAUAAAUUCUAAUUCAGAUGAUGUUCCUUUAGCAAUUAAUUCUUCAAGAGAAGAUGCUGCUGAUGCAAAGUCCAUGGAUAUGGAUAUCUCAGAUUCUACAGAUUCUUUAGGUACAAUGUCUAAAGAAUGCCACAAUUCAGAUGGGACUUCCUUAUUAGAAGAUGCUUUCCCUUUGAAGAAUGAUACAGCACAGGUUGUAUACAUGGAGCAAGACCAUGCAGUGCCAAGUUCUGUCAUGAAAGCUGAUGGUGACAACACCAGCGUGGCAAACAGUAUGGAAAAAGUUAAUGAGAUGUCCCGGCCUGAUGAACAGGCAGUGGAAGGCAGUACAGCUGGGUUACGUAGGCGAGAAGAUUGCAAUGAAGCAGCAAAGUCAGAAAGCUCUCAAAAUAGGAAGUUGAGAAGAAAAGAGGAAAAUUUGAUGUCUGGCAUAACUGAAGAUCAUGGAAACGUAACAACAAAAGAACUUACCCCAAGAAGAAAAGGAAGAGAGUGCUUGAAUAUAGAUCCUUCCACAAAGGGAGAAAGCACAAUGACGGAUAGUGUGGAAAAGAACAAGGUGGAUAACACAGAUGAUAUGAUCCAGUCUUCCUCUGUUUUAGUGCCUGAAAGAGGUCCUGAGGAAAGUUUCAAAGGCUCUGUUAUAGCCAAUGGGCAAGAAGAAACUAAUGUGGUUAGCAUGGAAGACAAAAAUGAAAGCAAUGCUGUAGGUACCAGUGCAGCAAGUAGUAAACUUAGUUUGUUGUAUAGCAGCCUACAAAAAACUCCUGCCAGUGUGAUAGGAACUAGCACAGAAAAGAUCACUGAGAGCACUGCAAUGGCAACUAGUACAGGAGGAGAAGGAGCUGAGGGUACAUCACAAUCUGGAAAGGACGGUGAUGCUACAACGACUUGCUCAGAAGAAAGUGAGGUGACAGUAAUCUGCACAAGCAUAGAAGCUGAUGAAGGUUUCACAACAGGCAUAUGGGUAAAACCUAGUGAGGGCUGCAGUUUUGUCACAGGAGCAGAUAUUGGUGACUGUACUGUUGCAGCAGCGGAAGAAGGUGGUGGCAGUGUUGUCACUGAAGGAUUAGCAGAAAGUGAAAGCUUCCUAACAAGUACAGAAGGAGAAGAAAAUGGUGACUGUACCAUGGUUGAUGCAGAAGAAGGGGGUAAGGAUUCAGUGAACCCAAGUGGAGUAGAAAUUGAAGACAGUGUAAACAGUGCUGGGACAGAAGAAAAAGAUGAUGCUGUGACUAGUGCAGGCUCCGAAGAAAAGCAAAAUACCUCAGCUUGUGUAGAUACAGGCAAAUUUGAAAGUUCUGUGUCCUGCUUAGGUGAAAUGGAGAGUGAUGGAGCUGUAACUAGUGCAGGGACAGAAACAGGUGAAGGGUCAACCAGUGGUGAUAAUUCAGGUGAAUUUAGGGGCAAUGUGACAGCUGGCCAAGUAAAAGAACAUGAAAGUACUGUGACUUGCACAGGUGCAGAAGAAAGAGGUCAUAACUUCAUCAUCUGCUCUGUGACUGGUACAGAUACCCAAGGAGAAAACACUGUAACUGGUGCGUGUGUUGCAGUGGUCACAGACAACAGUGCCACAGCUGGAACUAGUGGUGACAAAUCUGAGGAUACUGUAACUGGUGAAAGUGCAGUGACCAGCACAGGCAUAACCCCAGAAGAUGAUGCUGAAAUUUCAGCAGUGUGCACAGGGCUAGAAGACAGCAACGAGGGAUUUGUAGUUUGUUUAGAAACUGAAAAAUGUGAAAGUCUAAUGGACAGUACAAGGGCAAAGGAAGAAGCCAGUAUCACUACAGUCAGUGUAGGUCUGUGUGAUGAUGAAGGUUUUGUGACUAGUACAGGCUCAAAAGAAGAGGAUGAAGAAGGUGAGGACAUUGUGACCAGUACAGGAAGAGGAAAUGAAGAAAAUGAGCAUGCUUCUACUUGUACAGGAGUGGAAAGUGAAAAUGCACUCAUUUGUAUAGGUGCAGAAGAAGGUGAAAGUUCCAUUAUCUGCAUAGUUGCUGAACAAAUGGAAGCUGAGUCAGGAGUGGCUGGCACAGAUCUAAAUAAGCUUACUGUCAACAGCAUGACAAGUGCAGAGAAAGAAGCUAAUUUUGGCACAGACUGCAGAAAUUAUAAAGGCAUUGUUGAAAGCAGCGUGACCAGUGCAAGUGCUGCAGAUGAGGGUGCCUUAGCUGCACAGACAGGAAAACGUGAAGAUACCUUGCUUCCCUCAGAUUCUGGGGAAUGUGAGGGUCCCAUGACUAGUGCUAUGGCAGUGCAAGAUGAGACACAGUUUGCUGCUGAAGACAAGCAUGAGAAUGCCAGGACUUUCUUUGACAGCAGAGGACUUGAUGCCUCUAUAAGCAGUGCAGUUCCAAAGAAGGAUGAGACUUCUCUUACUCCUGCUGACAGAGAAGUAAAGGUAAAAGGUGAUGCCAUCUCUACCAGCACAGUGGAAGAUGCUCCUUUACAUUCAGCCACAGAUGCUGAAGAAGGUCCGCUUGCUGUUGCAAGGGUAAAUGAAAAUGGGGAAAAGUCUAUGAUCUUAAUAGACACUGAAGACACAGUGCCUAUGCCAAGCACAGCUACAGAGUUCAAAGAGUGUGUGAAUACUUACAGCAGUAAGCAGGAGAAAGAUGAGUGCGCUAUGAUUUCCACCAGUAUUGUGGAGGAAUUUGAGGCUCCAAUGUCAAGUGCAGCUAUUGAAUAUGAUGGUCAGCUCCCCUCUGUGAAAACAGAAGAAAUAAAUGAAGAUACUAUGGUUUCCGUAGAUAUGGAGGUAUACGAGGUUCCCAUGCCUAGUGAAUCCAGCACAGGAGGAGAUGAAAAUGGUGAUGAUGGAAAUCACCCAACUGCUAGUGGGAAGGAAGAAAAGGAUGAGUGUGCUAUGAUUUCCACAAGUGUUGUGGAAGAACAAGUAAUCCUAAUGUCAAGUGAAGUCACAGAAGAGGUGAUUCAGCAGAUGUCAGACACGGAGUCAAAGAAUGAAACACUAAUGAUCUCUACAAGUACAGCAGAAUGUUUUGAAGCUCCUAUGUCUAGUGUAGCUGUGCAAGAUGAAAACAAACUCACUGCUUCAGAAACAGAGGGAAGAUACGAAGCUGCUAUGAUUACUACAAGCAUGACAGAAGAAUGUGAGAUAGUCCUGAUCAGUGCAGCACCACAAGCUGAAAGUCAGCUCAUCGUAGCAGGAGAUGAAGGUGCAUCAAAUGCAUCAGAGGAAUGUAGGGUGGUGGAGACCACUGCAACUGUAGAUGAACAAUUUGGACUAACUGCUUUCAAUGCAGAUGGGAAAAGCAAAGGUUCUGUGAUUUUUGUGGGAGAAUGUGGAGCUCCUGUGCUAAGAGUUGCAACUGACAGUGAAGAUCAACACACUGCUUCAAACAUAGAAGAUAAAGAGGAGGGGGCAGUGAUCACUCUGAGCACAAUGGAAGAGUGUGAUAGUCUCUUCACUUUCACAGUCAUAGAAGAAAGUCCACUUGCUGCUGAGAGUACAGAAGUAAAAGACAAAAGUGAAGAAAUGUUUAAUACUGCUAACCAGAUUGAAUGCAUCCUUUCAACUACAGACCCAGAAAAAAGCACAAAUUCUUUGCUUGUUAUUGGUAGAGAGAACGAGACACGUGAGAGUGGGGUGAGGACAGAAUCAGCAGCAUCUCAGGCCACAGGAGAGAGUGAAAUCACAGAAACUGAUGAAAAUGCAGUGAACCUCAUGAGUGUAGAUGAAGCCCUUUGCGUGGAGAUUAGUACAGAGACUGCUGAGAGUCCUUCCCCAGAGGCAGGUGAGGACGAUGAGCAAGCAGAAGAUGUUUUGCAGGAGGAUGUUACAUCAGAACUCUCCAGUACGGUUUCAGAAGCAGCGAAAGAGAGUGAUGCUGUGAAGAAUGUAAACCAUAAAUUAAAUUCAAACGUACUUCUAGAAAGUGACUUACCUGAAAUAAGGACUCCCCUGCCUAAGACACAGGGUCUUCCCUUAGUUUCUGCAGAUGAAGUGACUGUAAACACCAACCAUGGUGAAGUAACAGUAGAAGCAGAACUAGGGAAGAAAAGGGACCUCACAUCGUUGCAUGUAGAAAAGCUGUAUGACAAUGAUGGCAAAACCAAUUUGGUCAAAACAGGUGAUACUGGCAUUGAAGUUACUUCUCAGAAAAGUAAUGCAACCUUUAAUUCAGGCAAUAAUGCAGCCUUACCAAAGUUGACAGAAGAACUAGAAAGUACCUUGAGAACUGACAAGUCACAACAGUCUGAAAGUGCAAGAAGUGAAGAAGGAUGUGUGGAUCUUCAGACUAAAGAAUUGCAAAAAGAUAUGCUGCAGAGGAAUGUUCCUUUAGAAAAAGAAACUUCUCAUGUGGAAAACUCGGCUACCCAGAUAACUGAAGAACAUAGAUCUAGAGGAAUUAAAUGUAAAUCUUCAGAAACAAUGGAUGAAAAAAAAUGCAAACAGCAGAUUGCUCAGGAUGUGCUAAAAGAUGAUGAACAAAGUCAGCAUUCCAAAAUGAAACCUGGUAACAUCAAGGAAGUUAUUUCAGGUGAUGCAGCAGAAGUGUCCCAAGAAACUGAUGUAACACAAACACCUCCUAGAAGUACUGCAGAAGAAAAAGAUGAAUUUAACUUGGAACAGGAAGUGUCUGAAAAGAAAAAGCACAGUCCAGAAUCAAAUGAAAAUUCUCCAGAGGAAAAUCAGCCUGUAGUAGUGAAACGCAAAAGGGGACGGCCUCGUAAAUACCCUCUUGAAGCAGUACAGCCUGGUGCUGCAGUCUUCUACCUUUGCAAGUAGAGGGAAAACACCUCAAACAGGUACAGACAUAUCUAAUAAGAAAGAAACAACAAAUGAGGAUGAAGCUGAGAAGGCAGAAAUGGUUGUGCGUAAAAGGGGAAGAAAGCCCAAGCGUUCUAUGAUCCAAUCAGAGGAAACGGAAACACUGGAGCCAGAGAAGAAACGUCGGAAAUUAACGUCUUCUGAAGAUGAGCUAAAAGAGCAAGAGGAAGUUGAGGAAGAGGAUGGUGAGGAAGAUGAUGACGCACAUUCUGGGGCCACAACUAGAUCAGCCACAAGAUUAGAGGCUCAAAGAAAACAGACCAGCAAGCCAACCACACGUGCAACUUCUAAAGGCAGCAGUCCAAGUUCAGUUUCUCCUAGAAAACGACAGAAACUAGCAGCUAAGAAAAGAUCUCCAAGUGAUACAAAAAUUAAUAAAUCUCCUCCAUUGACACAGUUAAAGGUGCAGUCUGCCAAGCGUAAAAGGGAGGACAGCCCAACAGUGGUCCGGAGAAAAGGCCAGCAGAAAGGAGAGGAGACGCCACUAAAGAAAGCAAAACGAUAAUCUUUACCAGCCAGUACUGUUCUUGGAAGAGUCAAAAGGAAAACAAACAUCUGUGCUUCUAUUUUUUUUAAAGCAAAGGGAUUUGCACGUGCUUGUUUCAGAGCUCUAAGUUAAACAAUGCAGUACUUUUAAGUUACAUUUUAAACAGCUUUAUAAACUAUUGUUUAUACAGAAUAUUAUGUACAUUUAUUUCAGAUGAAAAAUAAGUUUACUUUGUAUCUGAAUGAAAAACAAAGUAGUUAUAUAUUUUAUCACUGACUUGGAAAGUUGGAGUUUCCCAAUGUGACAUGCUAAUGCAGAUGCUUCCAGCCCAUAAGGCACCCAUGUGCCUACUAAUACUUUGUACAUAAACUUGUAAAAAUAGGUUGUAUUUUACUCUGUGUAUGAAUCUGAUCAAUGAUGGACAUUUUAUUUAUUAUAUGGAAAGCAUUGGUCUGUAAACUUUAGUAUAUAUCUUAGGGUUUUUUAAUUAUAUAUUUUACAUUCUAUGCAGAUGUCAGUAGGAAACUUCCCCUCUGCUCCCCCAGGGCUGUCUAAAAUCUGAAGUUCUCUAAAAUAUGCUCAGACAGUUGGUAAAAUAUUUUUCUCGCAUGCAUUAAAGUAGUUUAGCAUAGUGAAAGGGACUUGGCUCCUUUCUGUUCACAUUUGUGGCAAAGUACGGCAUUUAAAAUGUAAUCUUACUAGAUUAUAUUUUCACUUGGAAAUUUACUACCAACUUCAAGAAAUAAAUAGUACUAGGUUAGAUUUAUUCACACUCAACCAAUACCACCCUGAAAUGAAAGUUUUAUUUUGCAACUAAACACAUGUUCUUUCAGUAUUUAUCUUUUUCAACAAAGAGGGACCCAUUGAAAUCAAAUGUCACUUCUCCUAACUAUAGAGCUUCAGCAUUUUAUGUUACAUUUUAUACACAGGUAUUAAAAAUAGAAGCUGGUAUUAUUGCCAGAAUCUUUUUUUAAUGUAUAUUAACUCUGUUAAGAGCAAAUGUUCAAGUGAAGUUGUAUAUAAAGUUAAACUUUUCUUAUGAUCAAAUGUGUCUCUUGUUAUGAUGUGAUGAAUUGCCAAACAAUCUGAGAUUAUUUUAAGUGUUUUGUUGAUAUUCUGGUUUAUAAUUAAAAAAUAUUUUGGGGGUUGGAUUUUA